AAUUUUUGGUUGGAUUUCUUAUUCUUGCAAAGGAAGUCCUGUUUAUAUUUACAUGUUCCUGUAUUCACUCAAAUCCACACAAUGGUUAAUGCGAUGCCAGAUAUGUUUUUAUUGUGAAUACCAGUAAAGUUACUUCUUCUGAUGACGACAGGUAUAAGUACUAUACAACGGAAAUUGUGAAAGUACUCAAGUCGAGUGCACCAGUAACGAGAAUGUUCACAACGCUGAAAACUCCAACAUCUGAGUCAAUGUGUGGAACUUCUUUGCCAUUCAGUCAAAAGAUGCUUAUAUCAGCUUAUGAGAGUGAAAUUAGUGACUCUGAGUUUAUGAUAGACAUGUGUGACCCGAUAAGAAGGAGAUACAAUACAGGACUCGAAAAUUUUGGAAAGGAUUUUGAUUGCAGAUGCAGGGAAGCAACAGGGUAUAUGGAUUCGGACUAUGACCAGAGGCAGUUAUGUUCCAUGUUUAUUUCCUGUUUUAAUAAAACUGUGAGGAAAUGUACCGUAAAUAAAGAUGGAAGAUGCGAAUGGCAAUGUUUGUCAAAGGGAGUUCGAUCAUCGGCUAAUCACCAAGGGAAAAUAUUGUAUUCUUUUCUCACAUUUAUGUUUCUCUUACUAUAUUACAUACCUCUGCAACGAAUAUUCCUAUUUAGUUGAUCAGUUCUGGUUUUUAAGAAAUGUUAGCAUUCUUUG
This is a long non-coding RNA of Saccostrea echinata, 692 nucleotides long. RefSeq lists it as uncharacterized. The transcript has 5 exons. Lineage: Eukaryota; Metazoa; Mollusca; Bivalvia; Ostreida; Ostreidae. The record is from RefSeq and is a predicted model, not a curated record.